AGUGAACGCUGGCGGUAGGCCUAACACAUGCAAGUCGAACGGCAGCACAGUAAGAGCUUGCUCUUACGGGUGGCGAGUGGCGGACGGGUGAGGAAUACAUCGGAAUCUACUUUUUCGUGGGGGAUAACGUAGGAAAACUUACGCUAAUACCGCAUACGACCUACGGGUGAAAGCAGGAGAUCUUCGGACCUUUCGCAACUGAAUGAGACGAUGUCGGAUUAGCUAGUUGGCGGGGUAAAGGCCCACCAAGGCAACGAUCCGUAGCUGGUCUGAGAGGAUGAUCAGCCACACUGGAACUGAGACACGGUCCAGACUCCUACGGGAGGCAGCAGUGGGGAAUAUUGGACAAAGGGCGCAAGCCUGAUCCAGCCAUACCGCGUGGGUGAAGAAGGCCUUCGGGUUGUAAAGCCCUUUUGUUGGGAAAGAAAAGCAGCAGGUUAAUCCCCCGCUGUUCUGACGGUACCCAAAGAAUAAGCACCGGCUAACUUCGUG
RNAcentral lists this ribosomal RNA (492 nucleotides) under uncultured bacterium. RNAcentral's name for it is "partial 16S ribosomal RNA". It matches the Rfam family "Bacterial small subunit ribosomal RNA", at positions 29 to 507 of the family's 1533-position model. The record is from RNAcentral.